CACUUGAGCCUUAGUAAAUAUCUACACUAGUAAGUUUUUUCUUCAUGUUAGAAAUACUUAGCAGUGUAGAUACUCCCUAAGGCUAGGUUA
Triticum aestivum (bread wheat) is the source of this 90-nucleotide non-coding RNA. NCBI's taxonomy places the organism in Eukaryota, Viridiplantae, Streptophyta, Magnoliopsida, Poales, Poaceae. The record is from Rfam.